CAAGUCGAACGCGGUUUCCUCGCAAGGGGAAACUGAGUGGCGAACGGGUGAGUAACACGUGGGUGACCUACCUUCGAGUGGGGGAUAACGUCCCGAAAGGGACGCUAAUACCGCAUAACAUCCUGUCCUUGAACGGAUGGAGAUCAAAGCUGGGGAUCGUAAGACCUGGCGCUUGAUGAGGGGCCCGCGUCCGAUUAGCUAGUUGGUGAGGUAAUGGCUCACCAAGGCAACGAUCGGUAGCCGGCCUGAGAGGGCGGACGGCCACACUGGGACUGAGGCACGGCCCAGACUCCUACGGGAGGCAGCAGUGGGGAAUUGUUCGCAAUGGGCGCAAGCCUGACGACGCAACGCCGCGUGGAGGAUGAAGGUCUUCGGAUUGUAAACUCCUGUUGCUCGGGACGAAUGACUGCGACCUAACACGUCGCAGUGUGACGGUACCGGGUGAGGAAGCCCCGGCUAACUCUGUGCCAGCAGCCGCGGUAAUACAGAGGGGGCAAGCGUUGUUCGGAAUUACUGGGCGUAAAGGGCGCGUAGGCGGCCUGUUAAGUCGAACGUGAAAUCCCCGGGCUCAACCCGGGAACUGCGUCCGAUACUGGCAGGCUUGAAUCCGGGAGAGGGAUGCGGAAUUCCAGGUGUAGCGGUGAAAUGCGUAGAUAUCUGGAGGAACACCGGUGGCGAAGGCGGCAUCCUGGACCGGCAUUGACGCUGAGGCGCGAAAGCCAGGGGAGCAAACGGGAUUAGAUACCCCGGUAGUCCUGGCCCUAAACGAUGAAUGCUUGGUGUGGCGGGUAUCGAUCCCUGCCGUGCCGAAGCUAACGCAUUAAGCAUUC
Molecule: ribosomal RNA, 830 nt
Filed under: uncultured Acidobacteriota bacterium
Lineage: Bacteria; Pseudomonadati; Acidobacteriota
Description: bacterial SSU rRNA
Rfam family: Bacterial small subunit ribosomal RNA
Source: RNAcentral